RNAcentral lists this ribosomal RNA (373 nucleotides) under uncultured organism. Its description in RNAcentral is "bacterial SSU rRNA". It matches the Rfam family "Bacterial small subunit ribosomal RNA", at positions 526 to 896 of the family's 1533-position model. The record is from RNAcentral.
CAGAGGGGGCAAGCGUUGUUCGGAAUUACUGGGCGUAAAGGGCGCGUAGGCGGCCUUCUAAGUCGAACGUGAAAUCCCCGGGCUCAACCCGGGAACUGCGUCCGAUACUGGAAGGCUUGAAUCCGGGAGAGGGAUGCGGAAUUCCAGGUGUAGCGGUGAAAUGCGUAGAUAUCUGGAGGAACACCGGUGGCGAAGGCGGCAUCCUGGACCGGUAUUGACGCUGAGGCGCGAAAGCCAGGGUAGCAAACGGGAUUAGAUACCCCGGUAGUCCUGGCCCUAAACGAUGAAUGCUUGGUGUGGCGGGUAUCGAUCCCUGCCGUGCCGAAGCUAACGCAUUAAGCAUUCCGCCUGGGGAGUACGGUCGACAAGGCUG